RNA transcript from Cucumis sativus (cucumber), 826 nucleotides. It is a transcript of the gene named small ribosomal subunit protein S13, mitochondrial, with no coding region annotated. NCBI's taxonomy places the organism in Eukaryota, Viridiplantae, Streptophyta, Magnoliopsida, Cucurbitales, Cucurbitaceae. The record is from RefSeq and is a predicted model, not a curated record. The transcript has 3 exons.
UUGAAGUGUUGUUGAUAUGUGUAGUUAGCCUCUCUCUUUCUCUCUCUCCCUCGCCAUCCUCUGAACCGCCUUCCCAGACAUGUUUGGAGUUCGUCGUUCCUUGGGGAUUGUCUCUAAUGCUCUCCUUCCUCGCUUUGAAUCAUUAUCAGUUUAGAGUGUUUGUAUGAGGUGAAGGAAUGUGUGGAUGAUACGUGCAGAUCCAGUCGAUUCAUUUAGGAGCAGGUAUGGAGAUCCCCGAUAGCAAACCACUCAAAUUUGCACUUCAGUACAUCAAUGGAAUUGGCCGAGCGAGAGCAAACCAAGUUCUUGCCCAGCUACACUUGGAAAACAAGCUUUCCAAAGAUUUGACUAAAAAAGAGCUCAUUUUUCUUGCAGACGAAAUUUCCAAGUACACGGUUGGACAUGAGCUGGAUAAAUGUGUUCAAAGGGACAUUGGUAGGUUGCAGGACAUUCAGUGCCAUAGAGGGAUUAGGCAUGAGCAAGGAUUACCAUGUAGAGGCCAACGAACGAAGACUAAUGCUAGGACUGUGAAGUCGAAACAGACCCGUGUUGGAAAGAGGAAAGCCUUUCAUUGAGCAAACAGUUUUGCAAUUUCUCCUCUCUUCUUGCAUUCUUGAACUGAUUGAUUAUAAACAUAUUUGGAUUUCAACCAAGUUUCAUGAUUUCUCUUUUAGUCCCAAUAUUUUGUUUAGGGUUCAUUUAGUGAAGAAUUCAUUAUUGGAUGGGGAUGAAUGGCUUUAGAAACGUUUCAAAUGUUUGUAACCAAUGAAAAUUGCUUAAUGAUUUCAUGUCCAACUAUUGCAGUUUGCAUUGUUGUGUAUGUUCA